This 294-nucleotide unclassified non-coding RNA is filed under the name Hevea brasiliensis (rubber tree). The record is from RNAcentral. Lineage: Eukaryota; Viridiplantae; Streptophyta; Magnoliopsida; Malpighiales; Euphorbiaceae.
GGACGAGCCACUGGAAUGAGACAAAUGUGCAUGUAUAAAGAACAAAAUAUGCAAAUCUGAAGAAAGGGAACCGUAGAGAAUUCAGAAUCACAUCGCCAAGCAGGGUAAUAGCAUUGAUAGAAUGCAUACCAAUAACUAGAAAUUGCAAUCCGGAACCACUGGGCAAGAAAAACGGGUAGAUAAGAAGCCAAUAAACGCAAUCCGUAAGCACCACGGCACCAGCACAGACCUGAAAAAUUAUCUGAAAGAGAUAACCCAAAUAACCUGCCGGUUCUCUAUCAUCAAUUUCCUCAA